GAAGUCGAAAAGAUAGUUUACAAUCAUUACGUGCAAUAUCGCAGAUCCACCAUCAGAAAUCAGUAAUAUUAGAAUAAAAUUCAUAUUGGAUUAAAAGAGGGGUCAAGUUGGGGUUAGCACCAAAUUUUCAAAUUUAG
This is a long non-coding RNA of Bombus impatiens (common eastern bumble bee), 137 nucleotides long. RefSeq lists it as uncharacterized. NCBI's taxonomy places the organism in Eukaryota, Metazoa, Arthropoda, Insecta, Hymenoptera, Apidae. The record is from RefSeq and is a predicted model, not a curated record. The transcript is spliced from 3 exons.